RNAcentral lists this ribosomal RNA (372 nucleotides) under uncultured organism. RNAcentral's name for it is "bacterial SSU rRNA". It matches the Rfam family "Bacterial small subunit ribosomal RNA", at positions 526 to 896 of the family's 1533-position model. The record is from RNAcentral.
CGGAGGGUGCAAGCGUUGCUCGGAAUCACUGGGCGUAAAGGGUGCGUAGGCGGUCUCGCAAGUCUGGCGUGAAAGCCCAAGGCUCAGCCUUGGAAGUGCGCUCGAAACGGCGAGGCCGGAGUGCCGGAGGGGAGAGUGGAAUUCCCGGUGUAGCGGUGAAAUGCGUAGAGAUCGGGAGGAAUACCGGUGGCGAAAGCGACUCUCUGGACGGCAACUGACGCUGAGGCACGAAAGCGUGGGGAGCAAACAGGAUUAGAUACCCUGGUAGUCCACGCCGUAAACGAUGGACACUAGGUGUCGGGGGUAUCCACUCCCUCGGUGCCGCCGCUAACGCAGUAAGUGUCCCGCCUGGGAAGUACGGUCGCAAGAUUA